CCUACGGGAGGCAGCAGUGAGGAAUAUUGGUCAAUGGCCGGAAGUCUGAACCAGCCAAGCCGCGUGAGGGAGGAAGGCGCUGUGCGUUGUAGACUUCUUUUGUCGGGGGAUAAAACGCCGGACUCGUCUGCUCCUGAGCGUACUCUGCGAAUAAGCAUCGGCUAACUCCGUGCCAGCAGCCGCGGUAAUACGGAGGAUCCGAGCGUUAUCCGGAUUUAUUGGGUUUAAAGGGUGCGCAGGCGGGUCUUUAAGUCGGCGGUGAAAUCGCCGAGGUUAACCCCGGAGGUGCCUCGGAUACUGGGGGCCUAGAGAGCAGCUGAGGCAGGCGGAAUGCACGGUGUAGCGGUGAAAUGCGUAGAGAUCACACAGAACACCGAUUGCGAAGGCAGCGUGCCAUGCCGCAACUGACGCUGAGGCACGAAAGCGUGGGGAGCAAACAGGAUUAGAUACCCCUGUAGUC
This 460-nucleotide ribosomal RNA is filed under the name uncultured bacterium. RNAcentral describes it as "partial 16S ribosomal RNA". It matches the Rfam family "Bacterial small subunit ribosomal RNA", at positions 338 to 795 of the family's 1533-position model. The record is from RNAcentral.